GACCCGAUGCUGUCAGAGAGCGUGCAUGAAGAAGAAAGUUAAUGGUAUUUCCAUUUAUAUAAGAAGCGCCUAAGAAAUGCCUGUGACGUUCGUGAACUAGUGAUUGUGAAUUCCAAAUUUGAUGCCAACUUUAUGUGUAAAGAAGCUAACUCCUGCCAACAUCGUGGCUGAAUGAACAGCUGGGACUAUGCUUAACCCAUUCCCAGCUUAUAAAAGCCCCAUGGCAGCUGCAGUGAAGCAUCA
RNAcentral lists this long non-coding RNA (243 nucleotides) under Homo sapiens (human). Its description in RNAcentral is "HSALNT0392559". The record is from RNAcentral. Lineage: Eukaryota; Metazoa; Chordata; Mammalia; Primates; Hominidae.